RNAcentral lists this transfer RNA (73 nucleotides) under Candidatus Woesearchaeota archaeon. Its description in RNAcentral is "tRNA-Arg". It matches the Rfam family "tRNA". From Rfam's summary of the family: Transfer RNA (tRNA) molecules are approximately 80 nucleotides in length. Their secondary structure includes four short double-helical elements and three loops (D, anti-codon, and T loops). Further hydrogen bonds mediate the characteristic L-shaped molecular structure. tRNAs have two regions of fundamental functional importance: the anti-codon, which is responsible for specific mRNA codon recognition, and the 3' end, to which the tRNAs corresponding amino acid is attached (by aminoacyl-tRNA synthetases). tRNAs cope with the degeneracy of the genetic code in two manners: having more than one tRNA (with a specific anti-codon) for a particular amino acid; and 'wobble' base-pairing, i.e. permitting non-standard base-pairing at the 3rd anti-codon position. Lineage: Archaea; Nanobdellati; Candidatus Woesearchaeota. The record is from RNAcentral.
GUCCUCGUAGCGCAGUGGAUAGCGCGACUGCCUCCUAAGCAGUAGGUCGUGGGUUCGAAUCCCAUCGGGGACG